AUGACACUGACACCUAGUGAACUGCCCAAGGUCAACAGUCCUGAUUUCCACGCAUUAAAGGUUUGGCGCUGUUUGUGUUCAGAGUCAGAGAGCUGUGUCUCUCUCCAGUCAGAGGUUUUUGUACGACCACUCAGUCAGUUUGUAUCACUGUGGUGGACUUUCGGUGGAGGAACCAGGCUGGAUGUUGGAAGUGACGCUCGUCCCACCCUGACGGUGCUGCCCCCCUCCAGAGAGGAGCUGCAGCAGGGGAAGGCCACGCUCAUGUGCCUGGCCAACAAGGGCUUCCCCUCAGACUGGAGUCUGUCCUGGAAGGUGGACGGCAGCAGCAGCAGCAGCUGGGAGGAGGGCAGGAGCCCAGGGGUGCUGCAGGAGGACGGCCUCUACAGCUGGAGCAGCACCCUGAGGCUCCCUGCAGACCAGUGGGAGAAGGUGGGCUCUGUGACCUGUGAGGCCACCCAGGGCUCCCACACUUCUCUCUCACAGACACUGAGGAGAGACCAGUGUUCCCAGUCCUGAGCUGACUCUCUCUCUUUUUCUGUCACUCGUCUUUGUUUUGUUCAUCAUUUCACUGUUUGACACAAUAAAGAUUCAUUCAAAGAAA
This is a non-coding RNA of Maylandia zebra (zebra mbuna), 601 nucleotides long. NCBI's taxonomy places the organism in Eukaryota, Metazoa, Chordata, Actinopteri, Cichliformes, Cichlidae. The record is from the annotation of a RefSeq genome assembly.